RNAcentral lists this ribosomal RNA (392 nucleotides) under uncultured bacterium. RNAcentral's name for it is "bacterial SSU rRNA". It matches the Rfam family "Bacterial small subunit ribosomal RNA", at positions 30 to 423 of the family's 1533-position model. The record is from RNAcentral.
AUUGAACGCUGGCGGCAUGCCUUACACAUGCAAGUCGAACGGCAGCGCGGGGCAACCUGGCGGCGAGUGGCGAACGGGUGAGUAAUAUAUCGGAACGUACCCAAGAGUGGGGGAUAACGUAGCGAAAGUUACGCUAAUACCGCAUACGAUCUAAGGAUGAAAGCAGGGGACCGCAAGGCCUUGUGCUCCUGGAGCGGCCGAUAUCUGAUUAGCUAGUUGGUGGGGUAAAGGCCUACCAAGGCAUCGAUCAGUAGCUGGUCUGAGAGGACGACCAGCCACACUGGGACUGAGACACGGCCCAGACUCCUACGGGAGGCAGCAGUGGGGAAUUUUGGACAAUGGGGGGCAACCCUGAUCCAGCAAUGCCGCGUGAGUGAAGAAGGCCUUCGGUU